GCAGGCUAGAGUUCGGUAGGGGAGAUCGGAAUUCCUGGUGUAGCGGUGAAAUGCGCAGAUAUCAGGAGGAACACCGGUGGCGAAGGCGGAUCUCUGGGCCGAUACUGACGCUGAGGAGCGAAAGCGUGGGGAGCGAACAGGAUUAGAUACCCUGGUAGUCCACGCCGUAAACGGUGGGCACUAGGUGUGGGCGACAUUCCACGUCGUCCGUGCCGCAGCUAACGCAUUAAGUGCCCCGCCUGGGGAGUACGGCCGCAAGGCUAAAACUCAAAGGAAUUGACGGGGGCCCGCACAAGCGGCGGAGCAUGUGGCUUAAUUCGACGCAACGCGAAGAACCUUACCAAGGCUUGACAUACACCGGAAACGUCUGGAGACAGGCGCCCCCUUGUGGUCGGUGUACAGGUGGUGCAUGGCUGUCAUCAGCUCGUGUCGUGAGAUGUUGGGUUAAGUCCCGCAACGAGCGCAACCCUUGUCCCGUGUUGCCAGCAGGCCCUUGUGGUGCUGGGGACUCACGGGAGACCGCCGGGGUCAACUCGGAGGAAGGUGGGGACGACGUCAAGUCAUCAUGCCCCUUAUGUCUUGGGCUGCACACGUGCUACAAUGGCCGGUACAAUGAGCUGCGAUACCGUGAGGUGGAGCGAAUCUCAAAAAGCCGGUCUCAGUUCGGAUUGGGGUCUGCAACUCGACCCCAUGAAGUCGGAGUCGCUAG
Molecule: ribosomal RNA, 709 nt
Filed under: uncultured Streptomyces sp.
Lineage: Bacteria; Bacillati; Actinomycetota; Actinomycetes; Kitasatosporales; Streptomycetaceae
Description: bacterial SSU rRNA
Rfam family: Bacterial small subunit ribosomal RNA
Source: RNAcentral